UGCCCCCUCUGGUCCUCUCUCUCCCCUCUUCACAUCCAAGAAGUUGGGCGUCCAUCUGAUGCUUGUCCAAGGCGUGGUGGCUCCUUGAUCAGAAGGCUGCAGGGAUUUGUUGAGAAGCUGCUGCUCCAGCUUCAGAAGAUCUUUUGAAGAUCUUUCAGAUCAGAUCCAGAUCUAAUUUUUGGAGUAGAGAUUUGCGAGGAGAAGACAAUCUAGAUCUUACUCGAGUGGAUACCGGUAGAGACUAGACGACUGCGUGGC
RNAcentral lists this long non-coding RNA (258 nucleotides) under Elaeis guineensis (African oil palm). RNAcentral describes it as "long non-coding RNA (EGUI_LNC052697)". Lineage: Eukaryota; Viridiplantae; Streptophyta; Magnoliopsida; Arecales; Arecaceae. The record is from RNAcentral.